Molecule: ribosomal RNA, 429 nt
Filed under: uncultured bacterium
Lineage: Bacteria
Description: bacterial SSU rRNA
Rfam family: Bacterial small subunit ribosomal RNA
Source: RNAcentral
ACUCCUACGGGAGGCAGCAGUAGGGAAUCUUCCACAAUGGGCGCAAGCCUGAUGGAGCAACACCGCGUGAGUGAAGAAGGGUUUCGGCUCGUAAAGCUCUGUUGUUAAAGAAGAACAACGUAAUGAGAGUAACUGUUCAUACGUUGACGGUAUUUAACCAGAAAGUCACGGCUAACUACGUGCCAGCAGCCGCGGUAAUACGUAGGUGGCAAGCGUUAUCCGGAUUUAUUGGGCGUAAAGAGAGUGCAGGCGGUUUUCUAAGUCUGAUGUGAAAGCCUUCGGCUUAACCGGAGAAGUGCAUCGGAAACUGGAUAACUUGAGUGCAGAAGAGGGUAGUGGAACUCCAUGUGUAGCGGUGGAAUGCGUAGAUAUAUGGAAGAACACCAGUGGCGAAGGCGGCUACCUGGUCUGCAACUGACGCUGAAGACU